GGAACACCAGUGGCGAAGGCGGCCUCCUGGGCUGUUCCUGACGCUGAAGGCGAAAGCUAGGGUAGCGAACGGGAUUAGAAACCCCGGUAGUCCUAGCUGUAAACGAUGGAUGCUAGAUGUAGGGGGUAUAGAUUCCCUCUGUGUCGCAGUUAACGCGUUAAGCAUCCCGCCUGGGGAGUACGGUCGCAAGGCUAAAACUCAAACGAAUUGACGGGGGCCCGCACAAGCAGCGGAGCGUGUGGUUUAAUUCGAUGCUACACGAAGAACCUUACCUGGGCUUGACAUGUAUGUGGUAGUGAAGUGAAAGCGGAUCGACCCUUCGGGGAGCAUACACAGGUGCUGCAUGGCUGUCGUCAGCUCGUGCCGUGAGGUGUCGGGUUAAGUCCCGUAACGAGCGCAACCCCUGUCCUUAGUUACAAGUGUCUAGGGAGACUGCCGGCGGUAAGCCGGAGGAAGGUGGGGAUGACGUCAAGUCAGCAUGGCCUUUAUGUCCAGGGCUACACACACGCUACGAUGGCCGGUACAAUGGGUUGCCAAACCGUGAGGUGGAGCCAAUCCCGUAAAGCCGGUCUCAGUUCGAAUUGUAGACUGCAACUCGUCUACAUGAAGUCGGAGUUGCUAGUAAUCGCGGAUCAGCAUGCCGCGGUGAUAUGUUCCCGGGCCUUGUACACACCGCCCGUCACGUCAUGGAAGCUGGCAACACCUGAAGCCGGUGAGCCAACCCGAAAGGGAGGUAGCUGUCGAAGGUGGGGCUGGUGACUGGGACGAAGUCGUAGCGAG
This 780-nucleotide ribosomal RNA is filed under the name uncultured organism. Its description in RNAcentral is "bacterial SSU rRNA". It matches the Rfam family "Bacterial small subunit ribosomal RNA", at positions 703 to 1495 of the family's 1533-position model. The record is from RNAcentral.